UGGGGAAUUUUGGACAAUGGGCGCAAGCCUGAUCCAGCCAUGCCGCGUGCGGGAAGAAGGCCUUCGGGUUGUAAACCGCUUUUGUCAGGGAAGAAAUCUUCUGAGUUAAUACCUCGGGAGGAUGACGGUACCUGAAGAAUAAGCACCGGCUAACUACGUGCCAGCAGCCGCGGUAAUACGUAGGGUGCAAGCGUUAAUCGGAAUUACUGGGCGUAAAGCGUGCGCAGGCGGUUUUGUAAGACAGAGGUGAAAUCCCCGGGCUCAACCUGGGAACUGCCUUUGUGACUGCAAGGCUUGAGUGCGGCAGAGGGGGAUGGAAUUCCGCGUGUAGCAGUGAAAUGCGUAGAUAUGCGGAGGAACACCGACGGCGAAGGCAAUCCCCUGGGCCUGCACUGACGCUCAUGCACGAAAGCGUGGGGAGCAAAACAGGAUUAGAUACCCUGGUAGUCCACGCCCUAAACGAUGUCAACUGGUUGUUGGGAAGGUUCCUUCUCAGUAACGUAGCUAACGCGUGAAGUUGACCGCCUGGGGAGUACGGCCGCAAGGUUGAAACUCAAAUGAAUUGACGGGGUCAUAGCUGUUUCCUG
Molecule: ribosomal RNA, 587 nt
Filed under: uncultured bacterium
Lineage: Bacteria
Description: partial 16S ribosomal RNA
Rfam family: Bacterial small subunit ribosomal RNA
Source: RNAcentral